This 208-nucleotide ribosomal RNA is filed under the name uncultured bacterium. RNAcentral describes it as "partial 16S ribosomal RNA". It matches the Rfam family "Bacterial small subunit ribosomal RNA", at positions 567 to 774 of the family's 1533-position model. The record is from RNAcentral.
GAGCGUAGGCGGACUUUUAAGUGAGAUGUGAAAUACCCGGGCUCAACUUGGGUGCUGCAUUUCAAACUGGAAGUCUAGAGUGCAGGAGAGGAGAAUGGAAUUCCUAGUGUAGCGGUGAAAUGCGUAGAGAUUAGGAAGAACACCAGUGGCGAAGGCGAUUCUCUGGACUGUAACUGACGCUGAGGCUCGAAAGCAUGGGUAGCAAACA